AGGGAAUCUUCCGCAAUGGACGCAAGUCUGACGGAGCAACGCCGCGUGAGUGAAGAAGGUUUUCGGAUCGUAAAACUCUGUUGUUAGAGAAGAACAAGUGCUAGAGUAACUGUUAGCGCCUUGACGGUAUCUAACCAGAAAGCCACGGCUAACUACGUGCCAGCAGCCGCGGUAAUACGUAGGUGGCAAGCGUUGUCCGGAUUUAUUGGGCGUAAAGCGAGCGCAGGCGGUUCCUUAAGUCUGAUGUGAAAGCCCCCGGCUCAACCGGGGAGGGUCAUUGGAAACUGGGGAACUUGAGUGCAGAAGAGGAGAGUGGAAUUCCAUGUGUAGCGGUGAAAUGCGUAGAUAUAUGGAGGAACACCAGUGGCGAAGGCGACUCUCUGGUCUGUAACUGACGCUGAGGCUCGAAAGCGUGGGUAGCAAACAGGAUUAGAUACCCUGGUAGUCCACGCCGUAAACGAUGAGUGCUAAGUGUUGGAGGGUUUCCGCCCUUCAGUGCUGCAGUUAACGCAUUAAGCACUCCGCCUGGGAGUACGACCGCAAGGUUG
RNAcentral lists this ribosomal RNA (548 nucleotides) under uncultured bacterium. RNAcentral's name for it is "bacterial SSU rRNA". It matches the Rfam family "Bacterial small subunit ribosomal RNA", at positions 356 to 896 of the family's 1533-position model. The record is from RNAcentral.